GAUGAACGCUGGCGGCGUGCCUAAUACAUGCAAGUAGAACGCUGAAGGAGGAGCUUGCUCUUCUGGAUGAGUUGCGAACGGGUGAGUAACGCGUAGGUAACCUGCCUGGUAGCGGGGGAUAACUAUUGGAAACGAUAGCUAAUACCGCAUGACAACAGUUAUUGCAUGAUAACUGUUUAAAAGGGGCAACUGCUCCACUACCAGAUGGACCUGCGUUGUAUUAGCUAGUUGGUGAGGUAACGGCUCACCAAGGCGACGAUACAUAGCCGACCUGAGAGGGUGAUAGGCCACACUGGGACUGAGACACGGCCCAGACUCCUACGGGAGGCAGCAGUAGGGAAUCUUCGGCAAUGGACGGAAGUCUGACCGAGCAACGCCGCGUGAGUGAAGAAGGUUUUCGGAUCGUAAAGCUCUGUUGUAAGAGAAGAACGAGUGUGAGAGUGGAAAGUUCACACUGUGACGGUAUCUGACCAGAAAGGGACGGCUAACUACGUG
Molecule: ribosomal RNA, 495 nt
Filed under: uncultured bacterium
Lineage: Bacteria
Description: partial 16S ribosomal RNA
Rfam family: Bacterial small subunit ribosomal RNA
Source: RNAcentral